CAGUGACUGUCAGUGUUAAAGUGUAACGAUUUUGUGGAAAAGAAUUUUGAAGUUUAACUAGAAUAAAAUGUGAGAAUACCACAAGUUCAAAUUCAUUUAAGCAUAUCCAGAUACCUUUUAAGGACUAUCAGUGACUUAUAAGAAGAUAUUACUGUCACAAUGGACCAUGACUUGGAAAACUUUACAUACGAACCAAUGUACAUUGAAGAGUACGUUCCCAUUUUUCACAUGUCAUUUUACAUAGAGGUACUAUAUGUCAUAGCCUUCCUAGCCGAUCUUUCAAUGACCAUCUACCUGAUAGUUGUCAUCAAAAAAUUCAAAACCCUCGAAAAUUCACGAUCUUACAAGUACCUUUUUGCCUAUGCCAUUUCAAACUUGUGCUACAUUCUAUUGUCACAAACUAUAGGCAUGUUCCUACAAGUGAUUACAAAUGGUUUGACAAGUAGGGGCAUGUUUAUUCUUGCAAACAUAGACAACUGUUGUAUGGAAUUAGGUUUUUACGUUCUAACUUUCAUGGCCAUCGACUGGUACGUUUUUAACUACUAUAAAUGCUUCUAUGACAAUCAUUUGAAGGUUUUAAUCAUGGAGUUUUAACAUUAUUUUUGAUAUUGCUUUUCAAAAGCGUAUUAGCUGUUAUUGUAUGUUUUCCUAAUGAUGAUAUGGAAGGGACAUUGAUGUUUUAUAUUUUCCUAGACAGUUUCAGUUUAGUUUCAUUUUAUCUAUGCUUUAUCAUGCUAACAUUUCUAUUUAUCAAAUGGAAACGUAAGGCGACUUCCAAUAUUACCAGAAAAUACGAAUAUUCUAUAAUUAUUCCUUGGACUUAUUUUAUGAUGUCUUCACCAAUGAAUAUAGUUAAUAUUUAUCCUAUUUUUUGGAGUCCUCCCUACGGUAAUGCUUUAUACGACACUAUUGACAUGUCUGCGGGGAUUUUGUCAAACAUGGCACUGGUAGUAAUUGUGUUUUUGUUAGGAAAAUACGAUAAACAUUUCAAAAUGGCGUACUUAAAGUGUUGCAAGAGAAGAUAUAAAAACAAUAAUUUUCAGGAUGAAGUUUCUGAAGAUGGUAGUGAAGAAAAUGGAGUGACUUAUGACGGACAUGUUGUCAAUUUAUAGUUUUGUUUUCGUUUAAUUAUACUUCAGAUUCAAUAAAUCAUAAUGAAAUAUUUGUCAUUA
RNAcentral lists this long non-coding RNA (1172 nucleotides) under Sitophilus oryzae (rice weevil). RNAcentral's name for it is "uncharacterized LOC115878501". The record is from RNAcentral. Lineage: Eukaryota; Metazoa; Arthropoda; Insecta; Coleoptera; Curculionidae.